Molecule: ribosomal RNA, 481 nt
Filed under: uncultured Methanosaeta sp.
Lineage: Archaea; Methanobacteriati; Methanobacteriota; Methanomicrobia; Methanotrichales; Methanotrichaceae
Description: bacterial SSU rRNA
Rfam family: Archaeal small subunit ribosomal RNA
Source: RNAcentral
UUAAAGGAAUUGACGGGGAGCACCACGAACGGGUGGAGCUUGCGGUUUAAUUGGAUUCAACGCCGGAAUCUUACCGGGACCGACAGCAAUAUGAAGGCCAGGCUGAAGACUUUGCCGGAUUAGCUGAGAGGUGGUGCAUGGCCGUCGUCAGUUCGUACUGUGAAGCAUCCUGUUAAGUCAGGCAACGAGCGAGACCCACGCCCACAGUUGCCAGCGUACUCUCUGGAGUGACGGGUACACUGUGGGACCGCCGCUGCUAAAGCGGAGGAAGGAAUGGGCAACGGUAGGUCAGUAUGCCCCGAAUAUCCCGGGCUACACGCGAGCUACAAUGGUUGGUACAAUGGGUAUCUACCCCGAAAGGGGACGGGAAUCUCCUAAAACCAAUCUUAGUUCGGAUUGAGGGCUGCAACUCGCCCUCAUGAAGCUGGAAUCCGUAGUAAUCGCGUUUCAACAGAACGCGGUGAAUACGUCCCUGCUCCUU